Molecule: ribosomal RNA, 497 nt
Filed under: uncultured bacterium
Lineage: Bacteria
Description: partial 16S ribosomal RNA
Rfam family: Bacterial small subunit ribosomal RNA
Source: RNAcentral
GAUGAACGCUGGCGGCGUGCCUAAUACAUGCAAGUCGAGCGAACGGACGAGAAGCUUGCUUCUCUGAUGUUAGCGGCGGACGGGUGAGUAACACGUGGAUAACCUACCUAUAAGACUGGGAUAACUUCGGGAAACCGUAGCUAAUACCGGAUAAUAUUUUGAACCGCAUGGUUCAAAAGUGAAAGACGGUCUUGCUGUCACUUAUAGAUGGAUCCGCGCUGCAUUAGCUAGUUGGUAAGGUAACGGCUUACCAAGGCAACGAUGCAUAGCCGACCUGAGAGCGUGAACGGCCACACUGUAACUGAGACACGGUCCAGACUCCUACGGGAGGCAGCAGUAGGGAAUCUUCCGCGAUGGACGAAAGCCUGACGGAGCAACGUCGCGUGAGUGAUGAAGGUCUUCGGAUCGUAAAACGCUGUUAUUAGGGAAGAACAUAUGUGUAAGUAACUGUGCACAUCUUGACGGUACCUAAUCAGAAAGCCACGGCUAACUACGUG